AAUCAACGCUGGCGGCGUGCCUAACACAUGCAAGUCGAACGCGGUUUUCCCGCAAGGGGAAAGCUGAGUGGCAAACGGGUGAGUAACACGUGGGUGACCUGCCUUCGGGUGGGGGAUAACGUUCCGAAAGGGACGCUAAUACCGCAUAACAUCCUGUCUUUUAAGAGAUGGACAUCAAAGCCUGGACCGUAAGGCCAGGCGCUUGAGAGGGCCCGCGCCUGAUUAGCUAGUUGGUGGGGUAAGGCUCACCAAGGCAACGAUCAGUAUCCGGCCUGAGAGGCGGACGGACACACUGGGACUGAGACACGGCCAGACUCCUAC
This 321-nucleotide ribosomal RNA is filed under the name uncultured bacterium. Its description in RNAcentral is "bacterial SSU rRNA". It matches the Rfam family "Bacterial small subunit ribosomal RNA", at positions 32 to 342 of the family's 1533-position model. The record is from RNAcentral.